This 650-nucleotide ribosomal RNA is filed under the name uncultured marine bacterium. Its description in RNAcentral is "bacterial SSU rRNA". It matches the Rfam family "Bacterial small subunit ribosomal RNA", at positions 89 to 774 of the family's 1533-position model. The record is from RNAcentral.
GAGCUAGCGGCGGACGGGUUAGUAACGCGUGGGAACGUGCCCUUCACUGCGGAAUAGCCACUGGAAACGGUGAGUAAUACCGCAUACGCCCUUCGGGGGAAAGAUUUAUCGGUGAAGGAUCGGCCCGCGUUAGAUUAGAUAGUUGGUGGGGUAACGGCCUACCAAGUCUACGAUCUAUAGCUGGUUUUAGAGGAUGAUCAGCAACACUGGGACUGAGACACGGCCCAGACUCCUACGGGAGGCAGCAGUGGGGAAUCUUGGACAAUGGGCGCAAGCCUGAUCCAGCCAUGCCGCGUGAGUGAUGAAGGCCUUAGGGUCGUAAAGCUCUUUCGCCAGAGAUGAUAAUGACAGUAUCUGGUAAAGAAACCCCGGCUAACUCCGUGCCAGCAGCCGCGGUAAUACGGAGGGGGUUAGCGUUGUUCGGAAUUACUGGGCGUAAAGCGCACGUAGGCGGAUCAGAAAGUUAGAGGUGAAAUCCCGGGGCUCAACCCCGGAACUGCCUUUAAAACUACUAGUCUAGAGUUCGAGAGAGGUGAGUGGAAUUCCGAGUGUAGAGGUGAAAUUCGUAGAUAUUCGGAGGAACACCAGUGGCGAAGGCGGCUCACUGGCUCGAUACUGACGCUGAGGUGCGAAAGUGUGGGGAGCAAACA